AACAUCUCCAUGGGUCGCUUCUUUGAAGUUUAACUUCUGAUCCUUCUGCCUUGUCGGUGGUUGCCCACUGUUCUUGCCAUUGACGACCGUUGAACUCUGUUUGUCCUGACUUGAGUGUGGUGUUGUGAGUCAUCAGGGAGAUAUAAUAUGCUGAUUGCCAAACAGACACAGUGAGGAGCGGUGCUCUUUUUCAAGAUCCCCCAUCUGGUAAAUAACAGGACAUGGAUUUCACUUCACACCUUUGUGACUCCAGA
Long non-coding RNA from Talpa occidentalis (Iberian mole), 254 nucleotides. RefSeq lists it as uncharacterized. The record is from RefSeq and is a predicted model, not a curated record. The transcript is spliced from 3 exons. NCBI's taxonomy places the organism in Eukaryota, Metazoa, Chordata, Mammalia, Eulipotyphla, Talpidae.